ACAAGUACCGUGAGGGAAAGUUGAAAAGUACUUUGAAAAGAGAGUGCAAGAGAACGUGAAACCGACGUAAUGGAAGCAUAUGGAGUUGACGUAUCUGGUGCGUAUUCAGUUGUUGGGCUUUUCGAUUGCUUGGUUUGCUAUUCCGCAAGGUUGGCGGCUGGGUAUUGUCGGGAGGUUCGGCAAUGCAUUUACGUACGGAGUGCGCCGAGUUGUGCGGUGGUGUCAGUCGACGUUGGUUGAGAGGACAUGACUUCGGUUGUGAACCCUUGGCUUUCUUAGGCUGGUUACUGCUGCAUAAUUUUGUGGAGGCACGGGUUUUUCGCGCAAUGCGAUGUUGGCUUGGCUUGUUUACUUUGUACGCAUGCGUCCUUGGUUUAUCGGUCUUGUCGAUGUUGUAGUGUGCUCUGUGCUCUUCUCGGUGUAUAGUCAAUGACCCAUUUGACCCGUCUUGAAACACGGACCAAGGAGUUUAUGGUAUACGCAAGUCAUUGGGCUUUCUAAACCCAAAGGCGUAAUGAAAGUGAGAUCUUAUUGGUUUUAAUGUGAUCGGUUGUUGUUUCGACGGCUGCCGAGCAACAUUGCCCCGUUUCGAAGACUUGUCUUGUUGCGGAGGUUGAGCGUAUGCUAUGAGACCCGAAAGAUGGUGAACUAUGCCUGAACAGGAUGAAGCCAGAGGAAACUCUGGUGGAAGUCCGAAGCGGUUCUGACGUGCAAAUCGAUCGUCUGAUUUUGGUAUAGGGGCGCAAGACUAAUCGAACCAUCUAGUAGCUGGUUCCUUCCGA
Molecule: ribosomal RNA, 782 nt
Filed under: Bursaphelenchus sexdentati
Lineage: Eukaryota; Metazoa; Nematoda; Chromadorea; Rhabditida; Aphelenchoididae
Description: LSU rRNA
Rfam family: Eukaryotic large subunit ribosomal RNA
Source: RNAcentral